Molecule: transfer RNA, 64 nt
Filed under: Neotoma lepida (desert woodrat)
Lineage: Eukaryota; Metazoa; Chordata; Mammalia; Rodentia; Cricetidae
Rfam family: tRNA
About the family: Transfer RNA (tRNA) molecules are approximately 80 nucleotides in length. Their secondary structure includes four short double-helical elements and three loops (D, anti-codon, and T loops).
Source: Rfam by way of RNAcentral
GAGGAUGUGGCUCAGUGGGUAGGGUGCUUGCCUAGCAAGCAUGAAGCCCUUGGUUCCAUCCUCA